GAUGAACGCUGACAGAAUGCUUAACACAUGCAAGUCUUUGGCGAAUCUGUGCUUGCACAGGCUAGCCAAGGCGGACGGGUGAGUAACGCGUCAAGAACUUGCCCUGCAGACAGGGAUAACAGACGGAAACGACUGAUAACACCUGAUACAGUUGCCGGCACGCAUGUGCCUGGCAAUGAAAAGAGAUGCUGCAGGAGAGCUUUGCGUCCUAUUAGCUUGUUGGUGAGGUGACGGCUCACCAAGGCGAUGAUAGGUAGCCGGCCUGAGAGGGUGAACGGCCACAAGGGGACUGAGAUACGGCCCUUACUCCUACGGGAGGCAGCAGUGGGGAAUAUUGGACAAUGGGGGCAACCCUGAUCCAGCAAUUCUGUGUGCACGAAGAAGGUUUUCGGAUUGUAAAGUGCUUUCAGCAGGGAAGAAGAAAGUGACGGUACCUGCAGAAGAAGCGACGGCUAAAUACGUG
This 463-nucleotide ribosomal RNA is filed under the name uncultured bacterium. RNAcentral's name for it is "partial 16S ribosomal RNA". It matches the Rfam family "Bacterial small subunit ribosomal RNA", at positions 28 to 507 of the family's 1533-position model. The record is from RNAcentral.